RNAcentral lists this ribosomal RNA (477 nucleotides) under Triticum aestivum (bread wheat). RNAcentral's name for it is "partial small subunit ribosomal RNA". Lineage: Eukaryota; Viridiplantae; Streptophyta; Magnoliopsida; Poales; Poaceae. The record is from RNAcentral.
AUGGCGGCAGUUCGGUGCGCGGCGAGGAGGCUCAGUGCGUCCCUGCUCCAACGAACGCAGGCGGCGGUCGCGGAGGGACGCCGGCACCUGCCAAGCAGGUUCACUGGGUCCCGCCAGCUCUCCAGCGAGUGUGAGCGCGAGAUUGAGGAGAAGAGGGUGGAGCUGCGUAACUUGGUAUCUAAAACGAUGCAGAAGAAAAUGGAGCUGCAGGAUGCGUUAGCAAAAGCGGGGAAAAAUCCUAAUGCUAUUGGUGAGUAUGAAAUGCAUGUACUCGAGCAUCUUUCUCAACAGAAAAUCUUUCCAGAACCACAUGACACCCCCUUAUACAGGAGCUGGAAGCAGUUUGCUACGAGGGCUAGGAGUGUGCUGGAUAUAGUUGUCAUGACGACAGGCUCCGUCAUGCUUACGGCUUGUCUGGUCAGUAUCAUCACAGACAAGGAGGUAAAAGCCCAUACUGUUAACAAGGAAAUCCAGUAG